This 468-nucleotide ribosomal RNA is filed under the name uncultured bacterium. Its description in RNAcentral is "partial 16S ribosomal RNA". It matches the Rfam family "Bacterial small subunit ribosomal RNA", at positions 28 to 507 of the family's 1533-position model. The record is from RNAcentral.
GACGAACGCUGGCGGCGUGCUUAACACAUGCAAGUCGAACGGAAAGGCCCUGCUUUUGUGGGGUGCUCGAGUGGCGAACGGGUGAGUAACACGUGAGUAACCUGCCCUUGACUUUGGGAUAACUUCAGGAAACUGGGGCUCAUACCGGAUAGGAGCUCCUGCUGCAUGGUGGGGGUUGGAAAGUUUCGGCGGUUGGGGAUGGACUCGCGGCUUAUCAGCUUGUUGGUGGGGUAGUGGCUUACCAAGGCUUUGACGGGUAGCCGGCCUGAGAGGGUGACCGGCCACAUUAGGACUGAGAUACGGCCCAGACUCCUACGGGAGGCAGCAGUGGGGAAUAUUGCAGAGUGGGCGGAAGCCUGAUGCAGCAACGCCGCGUGCGGGAUGACGGCCUUCGGGUUGUAAACCGCUUUCGCCUGUGACGAAGCGUGAGUGACGGUAAUGGGUAAAGAAGCACCGGCUAACUACGUG